This 555-nucleotide ribosomal RNA is filed under the name uncultured bacterium. RNAcentral describes it as "partial 16S ribosomal RNA". It matches the Rfam family "Bacterial small subunit ribosomal RNA", at positions 355 to 901 of the family's 1533-position model. The record is from RNAcentral.
UAGGGAAUCUUCCACAAUGGACGCAAGUCUGAUGGAGCAACGCCGCGUGAGUGAAGAAGGUCUUCGGAUCGUAAAGCUCUGUUGUUGGUGAAGAAGGAUAGAGGUAGUAACUGGUCUUUAUUUGACGGUAAUCAACCAGAAAGUCACGGCUAACUACGUGCCAGCAGCCGCGGUAAUACGUAGGUGGCAAGCGUUGUCCGGAUUUAUUGGGCGUAAAGCGAGCGCAGGCGGAAUGAUAAGUCUGAUGUGAAAGCCCACGGCUCAACCGUGGAACUGCAUCGGAAACUGUCAUUCUUGAGUGCAGAAGAGGAGAGUGGAACUCCAUGUGUAGCGGUGGAAUGCGUAGAUAUAUGGAAGAACACCAGUGGCGAAGGCGGCUCUCUGGUCUGCAACUGACGCUGAGGCUCGAAAGCAUGGGUAGCGAACAGGAUUAGAUACCCUGGUAGUCCAUGCCGUAAACGAUGAGCGCUAGGUGUUGGGGACUUUCCGGUCCUCAGUGCCGCAGCAAACGCAUUAAGCGCUCCGCCUGGGGAGUACGACCGCAAGGUUGAAACG